CCCCAAACCUCGUUCUCUUCCCAGGGCACUGGGUCCACGCUGGAGCAUCCCAGAGCUGAUCAAUCCCUCUGGAAGCAGGGACACCCCUGGCUCCAUAGGAUUCCAUUUUGCUGAACUACUGGUUCAGAAACACAAGAGCCUGAAAUCUAUGGGAACACAGAGCCAGAAAACCCAGGCACAGACCAGGACAUCUCCAAGGUAUUUCCAGCAGGUAUCUGCUAGACGCGUUCUCUCUGCCAGCCCGCUGCCUUGCUAGCUGUGGAGCAACUGCAGUACGUGCCCGUCCCUGUCACCAGGGGCUGGCCAUCAACAGAAGCUGCUCCUUCCAAGCCGGCCACGCGUCUACUACUUCAUCAUCCUCUCGGGGGAUAAAAAUCCCUGGAGCAAACCCUCUCCUUCCACCCAAAGGAGCCAUGGGAAGCCACUCUCUACAAUUUGCAGCAAACAUGGAAGCACCAGAAUCCUGCACGUAUGCUCGGAGGAAACGCACAGAGGACAAAUGCAGGGUCGCAGGAUACAAGAAUGGCAAAGGCUGACUCCAGAGAACGUUGUUAAGCUUCAAAUCUAUACUGUGCAUUGGAAG
Molecule: long non-coding RNA, 583 nt
Organism: Pan troglodytes (chimpanzee)
Lineage: Eukaryota; Metazoa; Chordata; Mammalia; Primates; Hominidae
Exons: 3
Source: RefSeq, a predicted model, not a curated record